Molecule: long non-coding RNA, 244 nt
Organism: Salvelinus sp. IW2-2015
Lineage: Eukaryota; Metazoa; Chordata; Actinopteri; Salmoniformes; Salmonidae
Exons: 4
Source: RefSeq, a predicted model, not a curated record
GGAGAUGUGGGUGUGGGGACCAUUGUGGGGUCAGCAGUCUUCAACAUCCUCUGCAUCAUCGGAGUGUGUGGAAUCUUUGCUGGCCAGGCUGUGAAGCUCUCCCAUUGGACACUACUCAGAGACUCCGCCUACUACACGCUCUCUAUCGCAGCCCUCAUUGCAUUUAUCUACGACGGGGAGGUUACAUGGUGGGAGUCUCUAGUCCUGAACGUGAUGUACCUCUUCUACAUUCUAAUCAUGAAGU